RNAcentral lists this ribosomal RNA (433 nucleotides) under uncultured bacterium. RNAcentral describes it as "partial 16S ribosomal RNA". It matches the Rfam family "Bacterial small subunit ribosomal RNA", at positions 29 to 507 of the family's 1533-position model. The record is from RNAcentral.
AACGAACGCUGGCGGCAUGCCUAACACAUGCAAGUCGAACGAGACCUUCGGGUCUAGUGGCGCACGGGUGCGUAACGCGUGGGAACCUGCCCUUAGGUUCGGAAUAACUCCCCGAAAGGGGUGCUAAUACCGGAUAAUGUCUUCGGACCAAAGAUUUAUCGCCUUUGGAUGGGCCCGCGUUGGAUUAGCUAGUUGGUAGGGUAAAAGCCUACCAAGGCGACGAUCCAUAGCUGGUCUGACAGGAUGAUCAGCCACACUGGGACUGAGACACGGCCCAGACUCCUACGGGAGGCAGCAGUGGGGAAUAUUGGACAAUGGGCGAAAGCCUGAUCCAGCAAUGCCGGGUGAGUGAUGAAGGCCUUAGGGUUGUAAAGCUCUUUUACCCGGGAUGAUAAUGACAGUACCGGGAGAAUAAGCGCCGGCUAACUCCGUG